RNAcentral lists this ribosomal RNA (497 nucleotides) under uncultured bacterium. RNAcentral's name for it is "bacterial SSU rRNA". It matches the Rfam family "Bacterial small subunit ribosomal RNA", at positions 28 to 524 of the family's 1533-position model. The record is from RNAcentral.
GAUGAACGCUAGCGGCAGGCCUAAUACAUGCAAGUCGAGGGGUAGAGUUAGCUUGCUAACUUGAGACCGGCGCACGGGUGCGUAACGCGUAUGCAACCUACCUUUAUCUGGGGGAUAGCCCGAAGAAAUUCGGAUUAACACCGCAUAAAAUCACAGUAUCGCAUGAUACAAUGAUCAAAUAUUUAUAGGAUAAAGAUGGGCAUGCGUGUCAUUAGUUAGUUGGCGGGGUAACGGCCCACCAAGACCACGAUGACUAGGGGAUCUGAGAGGAUGACCCCCCACACUGGUACUGAGACACGGACCAGACUCCUACGGGAGGCAGCAGUAAGGAAUAUUGGUCAAUGGAGGCAACUCUGAACCAGCCAUGCCGCGUGCAGGAAGACGGCCCUCUGGGUUGUAAACUGCUUUUAUUCGGGAAUAAACCUAUCUACGUGUAGAUAGCUGAAUGUACCGAAGGAAUAAGGAUCGGCUAACUCCGUGCCAGCAGCCGCGGUAAA